AAUUAUACCGUGAAACUGCGAAUGGCUCAUUAAAUCAGUUAUCGUUUAUUUGAUAGUACCUUACUACUUGGAUACCCGUGGUAAUUCUAGAGCUAAUACAUGCAAAAAACCCCGACUUCGGGAGGGGUGUAUUUAUUAGAUAAAAAACCAAUGCCCUUCGGGGCUCUUUGGUGAUUCAUGAUAACUUAACGGAUCGCAUGGCCUUGCGCCGGCGACGGUUCAUUCAAAUUUCUGCCCUAUCAACUUUCGAUGGUAAGGUAUUGGCUUACCAUGGUUUCAACGGGUAACGGAUUUUUAGGGAAAGAUCCCGGAGAGGGAGCCUGAGAAACGGCUACCACAUCCAAGGAAGGCAGCAGGCGCGCAAAUUACCCAAUCCCGACACGGGGAGGUAGUGACAAUAAAUACUGAUACAGGGCUCUUUUGGGUCUUGUAAUCGGAAUGAGUACAAUUUAAAUACCUUAACGAGGAACAAUUGGAGGGCAAGUCUGGUGCCAGCAGCCGCGGUAAUUCCAGCUCCAAUAGCGUAUAUUAAAGUUGUUGCAGUUAAAAAGCUCGUAGUUGAACCUUGGGCCUGGCUGGCCGGUCCGCCUCACCGCGUGUACUGGUCCGGCCGGGCCUUUCCUUCUGGAGAACCGCAUGCCCUUCACUGGGUGUGCCGGGGAACCAGGACUUUUACUUUGAGAAAAUUAGAGUGUUCAAAGCAGGCCUUUGCUCGAAUACGUUAGCAUGGAAUAAUAGAAUAGGACGUGCGGUCCUAUUUUGUUGGUUUCUAGAACCGCCGUAAUGAUUAAUAGGGAUAGUCGGGGGCGUCAGUAUUCAAUUGUCAGAGGUGAAAUUCUUGGAUCUAUUGAAGACUAACUACUGCGAAAGCAUUCGCCAAGGAUGUUUUCAUUAAUCAGUGAACGAAAGUUAGGGGAUCGAAGACGAUCAGAUACCGUCGUAGUCUUAACCGUAAACUAUGCCGACUAGGGAUCGGGCGAUGUUUCUAUAUUGACUCGCUCGGCACCUUACGAGAAAUCAUAAGUUU
This 1027-nucleotide ribosomal RNA is filed under the name Thyridariaceae sp. RNAcentral describes it as "SSU rRNA". It matches the Rfam family "Eukaryotic small subunit ribosomal RNA", at positions 72 to 1106 of the family's 1831-position model. The record is from RNAcentral. Lineage: Eukaryota; Fungi; Ascomycota; Dothideomycetes; Pleosporales; Thyridariaceae.